This 322-nucleotide ribosomal RNA is filed under the name uncultured eukaryote. RNAcentral's name for it is "partial 18S ribosomal RNA". It matches the Rfam family "Eukaryotic small subunit ribosomal RNA", at positions 1470 to 1796 of the family's 1831-position model. The record is from RNAcentral.
CCCUUAGAUGUUCUGGGCCGCACGCGUGCUACACUGAGUGGAUCAGCGGGUCAGGUUGCGCGAAAGCGUUUCCUAAUCUUUAAAUCCGCUCGUGAUGGGGAUUGACGGUUGCAAUUUUCUGUCAUGAACGAGGAAUACCUUGUAAGCGCGGGUCAUCAUCCCGCGCUGAAUACGUCCCUGCCCUUUGUACACACCGCCCGCCGCUCCUACCGAUUGAGUGGUCCGGUGAGGCUUUGGGAUCUGAGCGGAAAGAGCGUUUCGCUGUUUCUGCUCGGAAAACUCAGUCGAACCUUACCAUUUAGAGGAAGGAGAAGUCGUAACA